AGCCGGCGCCGCGGACACUCCCGGGAGCAUGAAGGACCGAACCCAAGAGCUUCGCACGGCUAAGGACAGCGAUGACGACGAUGAUGUCACUGUCACCGUGGACCGAGACCGCUUCAUGGAUGAGUUCUUCGAACAGGUGGAAGAGAUCCGAGGCUUCAUUGACAAGAUCUCUGAGAAUGUGGAGGAGGUGAAACGGAAGCACAGCGCCAUCCUGGCCUCCCCCAACCCUGAUGAGAAGACGAAGGAGGAGCUGGAAGAACUCAUGUCCGACAUAAAGAAGACAGCAAACAAAGUGCGCUCCAAGUUGAAGAGCAUCGAGCAGAGCAUUGAGCAGGAGGAAGGCCUGAACCGCUCAUCCGCUGACCUGAGGAUCCGGAAGACACAGCACUCCACACUGUCCCGAAAAUUUGUGGAAGUCAUGUCUGAGUACAAUGCGACACAAUCUGACUACAGGGAGCGCUGCAAGGGCCGAAUCCAGAGGCAGCUGGAGAUCACUGGCCGGACCACGACCAGCGAGGAGCUGGAGGACAUGCUGGAGAGUGGGAACCCAGCUAUCUUUGCCUCUGGGAUCAUCAUGGAUUCCAGCAUUUCGAAGCAGGCCCUGAGCGAAAUUGAGACUCGACACAGUGAGAUCAUUAAGCUGGAGAACAGCAUCCGAGAGCUGCAUGACAUGUUCAUGGACAUGGCCAUGCUUGUGGAGAGCCAGGGCACUUUCCUGAAGUCCUGUCCCAAGCCCCCUCUGGACCCUGAGGAGGGCCCUCUGGAGCUCGCAUGCUCCUGGCCCCACAGGGGGAGAUGAUUGACAGGAUCGAGUACAACGUGGAGCACUCCGUGGACUACGUGGAAAGAGCCGUGUCUGACACCAAGAAGGCCGUCAAGUACCAGAGCAAGGCACGUCGGAAGAAGAUCAUGAUCAUCAUCUGCUGUGUGGUCCUGGGCAUUGUCAUUGCCUCCAUCUUUGGAGGUAUCUUCGGAUAGAAACUACUCCACUUGCCACUCUACUCUGGAUGGUCCACCCUAAGGAAGCCCCCUGGCUGCUGACGCCCUUCGGCUCGGAACCUCUCCUUCCCACCCCACACUGCUCCUUUCUGUCACGGGGCCCUCCAUACCCACCCUGCCCUGAGCCGUCGUGUGCAUGAUCUUUGUAACAGUGUGCGUCUGUACAAGAGAGGUAGAGGGGAGCCAAGCUGGGAAACAGCCAGUGGGGCAGGGACAGGUCAGCAAGGGACAGACUCAGGCCCUGGCCCAGGCUGCCUCACCCUUCCUAGGCCUCUAGUAAUUCCACUGUUAAACUGAGGGGUCUGCCCUCUCUGGGUGUCAAGAUCCUCUGGACUCUAACCUUGCCUCCUACUGACGCACUCACCUGCCCUGUCUUCUCCAGCUGUCCCCCUAAACCCAGCCCCCUGAGGGGUGGGGACCAGCUGGCCACAUGGUGCUGCUUUUCAGGUUAGGGGAGGGAUGGCCCAGAGAGACAGCCCAGCUCUAAGCCUCUUAACAGCCAAUCACUGCCAGGGAGGCUCAGGGUGCUGUGGCCAGAUGGCUUCUGGCCAUGUCAAGACCAGGCUCCCUCCCCUACCUAUGGGCAGAGUCCAAUAGGUCUUCAGCUGCCUCAACCUCCCUUCCCACAUUCCUAGAGUACCAGAAGCAACCUGGCCUCUGCCUGACCCCAGAUCACAUCCUGGAAGAGGCUGGCUGGUAUCUGGUCUCCAGCUACCCUUGGAGCUAGAGAGGCAGAGCAGGCCCCAGUCAGGCCAAGCCCACAAACCUGGGCCAGCCAUUCUCCUCAGCAGGCCUUUGUUAGGUCCUCAAGCCAUUGUGUUGCAUGUUUGGGACAGUGGUCCCUGCUCUCUUGUGCUCUGGGAAGUCAGGUGUCACUUCAGGCCUGCAAUCACGUCCUUCCCUUGCUCGUCCCUCAUUGAUGUGCCACAUGUCAGAUGUCUUGGAUGCAGUAUUCAGCAGCUAGCCAGGGAGAGGUACCUCCCUCCCCACCAUCUUGGGGCUUUUCAAGUCAGAAACAUGCCCCCACUUCAAGACCCUUCUCUUCCUCGUUGACAGGCAAGGAGUGUGCAUGCAAGUGCAUGCAAUAGGGAGUGGGGCCAAGUCUGAGCCUCACUUCCCUCAGCUUUGCUCCUGCCCAGUGACUGACCACUGUCCGUGUUGCCUUCUUUAAUGACUUCCCUGCCCUCCUUUACCCCUUCACCAAAGGUCUUGGUACAACCAGCUGCCCAUUUUGUGAAA
Artibeus jamaicensis (Jamaican fruit-eating bat) is the source of this 2238-nucleotide RNA transcript. It is a transcript of the gene named syntaxin 1A, with no coding region annotated. The record is from RefSeq and is a predicted model, not a curated record. Lineage: Eukaryota; Metazoa; Chordata; Mammalia; Chiroptera; Phyllostomidae. The transcript is spliced from 10 exons.